AAAGGAGAGUAAAGUACAGUCCAGAGUCCCCUUCUCUGGGGCUUCCUGUCCUUGUGCCCCUCUCAUACCCAUGCUGGUUACAGAACAGGGAGGAAGACAACUGGGUGUUGUGACUGACACUUGCAGGUGGCAGGCUUCAGUAUUUCAGAGGGGGCUCAAGAGAAGCGAAGAAACGGACCUAUUUUGUUGAUGAUUAAGCCAGAAAGAGAAGAGAUCAUGAGAAAGUCACAGUGGAUUCCUGUUUCAGAACAACAUCAGAGGGAAUACGAGGGAUGUGAGAAAAGUGUAGGUAAGUUUUCAAAAAUCCCAUUGCUUCCAAACCCAUUAAAAUGACAGUUUUCUCCUGGCAUUAUCAUUUCCUGCCUUUGAAUCUACAUCCGUCCUCUGCCUUGCUCUUCUCCUGGAUGUCGGCCCUUCCCUCCCCAAUUAUACGUGUAUGCAUUUCAUCUUA
This 451-nucleotide long non-coding RNA is filed under the name Sus scrofa (pig). RNAcentral's name for it is "lncRNA (ENSSSCG00070020040.1)". Lineage: Eukaryota; Metazoa; Chordata; Mammalia; Artiodactyla; Suidae. The record is from RNAcentral.